Molecule: ribosomal RNA, 372 nt
Filed under: uncultured organism
Description: bacterial SSU rRNA
Rfam family: Bacterial small subunit ribosomal RNA
Source: RNAcentral
CGUAGGGUGCUAGCGUUGUUCGGAAUCAUUGGGCGUAAAGCGAGUGCAGGCUGUUAAAUAAGUCGGAUGUGAAAUCCCUGGGCUCAACCGAGGAAGUGCAUUCGAAACUAUUUAGCUAGAAGAUGGUAGAGGAAGGUGGAAUUCCAAGUGUAGAGGUGAAAUUCGUAGAUAUUUGGAGGAAUACCGGUGGCGAAGGCGGCCUUCUGGACCAUUCUUGACGCUGAGACUCGAAAGCGUGGGUAGCAAACAGGAUUAGAUACCCUGGUAGUCCACGCCCUAAACGAUGGGUACUAGGUGUUGCAGGAAUUGACCCCUGCAGUGCCGUAGCUAACGCAUUAAGUACCCCGCCUGGGAAGUACGGCCGCAAGGUUA